Molecule: long non-coding RNA, 200 nt
Filed under: Vigna radiata
Lineage: Eukaryota; Viridiplantae; Streptophyta; Magnoliopsida; Fabales; Fabaceae
Description: long non-coding RNA (VRAD_LNC015685)
Source: RNAcentral
AGGAUUUGUUUUAUUUUUAUGCUUGUCUAAAUUUUGUUUUUAAUAAGCUAUGAACUUGGUUGAAUGAAUAGUUCUACAAUGGUUGAUGUUAUGUGAUGAAUUGUUUUGUGAUGAGUAAUAUUGUCGUGUGUUGCUCUAUGUUUUUAAAUGCAUGGUUGAGUUAAUGUUUGAAUUAGCUAUUAAGCACAGAUAGUGGUUGC